CAAAAUGAAGACAGAAAAAGGAUGACUGAAGUUUCACUCCCAGCUGGGAAAAAAAUCCGCUAUAUCUUCCUCUAUAAUUUGCAUUUCAUUAUGGUGAUAGAGCAAUUUAAAUAUUCAGACUUUGUUAGCACGCGCCUUAGCUUGUUUAAAGUUUUAAUUGGUGCGGCUUUUGUGCAAGGCGAUAUCAGUAACCUCUCCCUCUUUCCCUCGAUUUCCAU
This is a non-coding RNA of Pelobates cultripes (western spadefoot toad), 218 nucleotides long. The record is from the annotation of a GenBank genome assembly. Lineage: Eukaryota; Metazoa; Chordata; Amphibia; Anura; Pelobatidae.